This 1235-nucleotide long non-coding RNA is filed under the name Parus major (Great Tit). RNAcentral's name for it is "lncRNA (ENSPMJG00000002176.1)". Lineage: Eukaryota; Metazoa; Chordata; Aves; Passeriformes; Paridae. The record is from RNAcentral.
UGCCCGGUGUCACCCACCGUCACUGCCCGGUGUCACCCACCUGGUGCCAUCCAGUGUCACCCACCCGGUGUCACCCACCCGGUGUCUCCCGGUGUCACUGCUCGGUGUCACCAUCCGGUGUCACCCACCCGGUGUCAUCCGGUGUCACUGCCCGGUGUCACCCACCCGGUGUCACUGCCCGGUGUCACCCACCCGGUGUCACCACCCGGUGUCACCACCCGGUGUCACUGCCCGGUGUCACCACCCGGUGUCACUGCCCGGUGUCACCGCCCUGCUGGCACCGGGGCCCCGAGCGAGGGGAUGGCGACAGCCGGGGGGGGUUGGGGGGUCCAGGGAAGGGAGAGGCCGCACAAAGGGGUCCCGUGGCCACCGGGGGUCCCCGAGCCGGGGGACGCAAAUCGGGGCUCGGGGACCCCCCAGACCCUGCCGGUGCCUUGGGGGGCUCCGAGGCUGGGGCGGGCAGGGGACACCCCCGGUGGCAGCGCUGUCCCCACCGGGAGGGGACUGGGAAGGGACUGGGGGGGUCGCGGAGCCCCAAAAGCCGCGGCCCCUCACCCCAAAAACCCCCGCGGACCCCCGGGGCCGGCACAGGCUGAAGGGGACAGGGCGGGGAGGGCUCGGCACUGGGACCAGUCAGAACCGGGAACUGGGACCAGUUACCUCCGGUCACUGGGACCAGCCAGAGCCGGGAACUGGGACCAGUUACCUCCGGUCACUGGGACCAGUCAGAGCCGGGAACUGGGACCAGUUACCUCCAGGCACUGGGACCAGUCAGAACCGGGAACUGGGACCAGUUACCUCCAGUUACUGGGACCAGCCAGAGCCAGGAACUGGGACCAGUUCAGGGCUGGACACUGGGACCAGUCAGAGCCGGGAACUGGGACCAGUUACCUCCAGGCACUGGGACCAGUCAGAGCCGGGAACUGGGACCAGUUACCUCCAGUUACUGGGACCAGCCAGAGCCAGGAACUGGGACCAGUUCAGGACCGGACACUGGGACCAGUUUAGGACUGGACCACCAGCUCCAAGCACUGGGACCAGUCCGAUCCGGUCACUGGGACCAGUUUAGGACUGGACACUGGGACCAGUCAGAGCCGGGAACUGGGACCAGUUCGGGACCGGACACUGGGACCAGUUACCUCUGAGCACUGGGACCAGUUACCUCCGGUCACUGCCCCAGUUUCCCCAGUAUGCAGCACCAGUCCCAGUGCCCAGGACUGACUGGUCCCAGUCCC